RNAcentral lists this ribosomal RNA (597 nucleotides) under Candidatus Saccharimonadota bacterium. RNAcentral's name for it is "partial 23S ribosomal RNA". It matches the Rfam family "Bacterial large subunit ribosomal RNA", at positions 1 to 501 of the family's 2925-position model. Lineage: Bacteria; Candidatus Saccharimonadota. The record is from RNAcentral.
AAAAAGGUACAUAAGGGCACUGAUAGUGGAUGCCUUGACAAUCAAUACCGAUGAAGGACGUAGAACUCUGCGAUAAGUCUCGGGGAGCUGAGAGCAAGCUUUGAUCCGGGAAUUUCCGAAUGGGGAAACCUAAUACGAGUCAUGUCGUAUUGCCUUUACCUGAACACAUAGGGUAAUGAGACGGGAACCAGCCGAACUGAAUCAUCUUAGUAGGUUGAGGAAAAGAGAAUAACCAAUGAUUCCGAAAGUAGUGGCGAGCGAAAUUGGAACAGCCCAAACCUUAACAUAACCAUACGGUUUAACGACCAGAGUUAUGAAAGGGGUUGCGAAAUUAGAUAAUUUUUAUGCUAAGGAGCCUUUCGGCUUUUUAGCAUAAAAACCAUCAGCGUUAACUGAAUGGAUAAUGAUACAAACCUUUAGAUCGUAGUUGAAGCGUUUGAAUGGCGCACCAAAGAAGGUGAAAGUCCUGUAAGCGAAACGGUCUUAGGCAUUAUAUAUCUUUUUUCAAGUAGGACGGGGCACGAGAAACCCUGUUUGAAUCCGGCAGGACCACCUGCCAAGGCUAAAUAUAUUGAUUGAUCGAUAGCGAACUAGUAC